RNAcentral lists this ribosomal RNA (469 nucleotides) under uncultured bacterium. RNAcentral's name for it is "bacterial SSU rRNA". It matches the Rfam family "Bacterial small subunit ribosomal RNA", at positions 28 to 508 of the family's 1533-position model. The record is from RNAcentral.
GACGAACGCUGGCGGCGUGCUUUACACAUGCAAGUCGAACGGUGAACUCGGUGCUUGCACCGGGGGAUCAGUGGCGAACGGGUGAGUAACACGUGAGCAAUCUGCCCCUAACUCUGGGAUAACUGCGGGAAACCGCAGCUAAUACCGGAUAAGACCCAGGGAGGCAUCUUCACUGGGUGGAAAGUUUUUCGGUUAGGGAUGAGCUCGCGGCCUAUCAGCUAGUUGGUGGGGUAAUGGCCUACCAAGGCGACGACGGGUAGCCGGCCUGAGAGGGCGACCGGCCACACUGGGACUGAGACACGGCCCAGACUCCUACGGGAGGCAGCAGUGGGGAAUAUUGCACAAUGGGCGCAAGCCUGAUGCAGCGACGCCGCGUGAGGGACGACGGCCUUCGGGUUGUAAACCUCUUUCAGCACAGACGAAGCGCAAGUGACGGUAUGUGCAGAAGAAGGACCGGCCAACUACGUGC